GUCAAAGAGCGCAACCAAUGCGAGCAUGACCCUAAUAGUAGUGUACUUGACAACUGGUGAGAAAAUCUCGUUAUAAUCAACACCUUUCUGUGUGUAACUCUUUGCUACUAACCUAGCCUUAAAUCUUAAGGGUUCUGUACUACUAGUACCUUCCUUAACCUUAAAGACCCACUUGCAAUCAAUGAUUGAUUUAUUCUUAGGACUUGGUACUAACUCCCAAGUUUGAUUCUUUUCUAGAGAACUCAUCUCUUCUUUCAUAGCCUUAAGUCACUCCUUAGAUUGACCACUAUUUAUAGCCUCUUCAAAAGUUUUCGGCUCCCUAUCAACUAGUUCUUCGUAACUAGCGUAUGCAAAAUCCAAUUCAGAUUCAUAGCCGAACCUUCUAGGUUCUCUUGUUUGUCUUCUCUCUCUAUCUCUAACUAAAUUAUAAUUAGCUAAUGGAUUUUCUUCCUCAGGAUGCUCUUCUAUCACUACUUCAUUUUCCUCUUCAGGUUCUUGGACCUGAAUCUCCACCUCACUUGAAGUACUAGGUACUGAUGUGUUAAAUUUUCCUAACUCCACCUUAAACCGAUUUCUUUCUUCACUUGAUUCAGUUUCACUUACAGGUUCGGUUUCGUUCUUUAGACAAGGCAUCUCACUCUCAUUAAAUGUGACAUCCCUACUCACGAUGAUCUUAACUCCUUUUUGGUUUCUAUCCCAUAGCCUAUAGCCCUUAACCCCUUCGAGAUAUCCUAGAAAGACACACUUCCUGGCUGUAGGUUCUAACUUUCCCUCACUUUGAUGAGAAAAGGCAGCACAACCAAACGCUUUAAGCAUUGGGUAGUCAUCCAAUUUUUCAGACCAUUUCUCAUGUGGAGUAUCACCAUUUAAUGCAGCCGAUGGAGUCAAAUUUAUUAAAUAACAGGCAGUGACAACGGCUUUACCCCAAAAUGACUUAGGAACCCCAGAACUUAACAUCAUGCAGCGCACUUUGUCUAGUAUGGUCCUAUUCGUUCUUUCUGCUACCCCGCUUUGCUGGGGAGUAUAAGGAACCGUUUUGGGCCUUGUUAUUCCACUUUCUUUACACAUCCUAUCGAAUUCAGCAUUACAGAAUUCUAGGCCGUUAUCUGUCCUUAAAAAUUUGAUCCUCUUGCUAGUUUGGUUUUCCAUUUGUUUCUU
Molecule: long non-coding RNA, 1158 nt
Filed under: Olea europaea subsp. europaea
Lineage: Eukaryota; Viridiplantae; Streptophyta; Magnoliopsida; Lamiales; Oleaceae
Source: RNAcentral